CCCCUCCAGCCUCCAGAGACGAGUUCCCGCCGCGGGGCCCGCGGGAGCAGAGCCAGCCGCGCCGGGGCGGGCGCGUCCAGGCAACCAGAUGUUUGCCAUCCAGCCAGGCGUAGCUGAGGGGGGCCAGUUCCUGGGGGGCCCACCUGGAGUAUGUCAGCCUGAGCUCCAACCAGACAGCAACUCCAACUUCAUGGCGAGUGCCAAAGAUGCCAAUGAGAAUUGGCAUGGGAUGCCAGGCCAGGUGGAGCCCAGCCUGAUGAGAGGCUCCUCUGAGUUGCCCUCUGACAACCAGGCCUUCCAGGCCCCUGGACUCCCUGAUGGGGAGGUCCGCAGCCCACCAGAGGGGGCAGAAAUCGCCGGAGCUGAGCUGGAGAAGAUGAGCGGCGCCAGCACAGUCUGCUCCCCUCUGGAGGACAACGGCUAUGCCAGCAGUUCCCUGAGCACCGACAGCCCCAGCAGCAGCCCUGAGCCUGUCUGUGGGACCCCUCGAGGCCCAGGCCCUCCAGAUCCCCUUCUGCCCUCAGUGGCCCAGGCUGUGCAGCAGCUGCAGGCUCAGGAGCGCUACAAAGAGCAGGAAAAGGAGAAGCACCAUGUGCACUUGGUGAUGUACCGUCGCCUGGCCCUGCUGCAGUGGAUCCGGGGCCUGCAGCACCAGUUGGUUGACCAGCAGACCCGUCUGCAGGAGAGCUUCGACACCAUCCUAGACAACCGAAAGGAGCUUAUCCGUUGUCUCCAACAGAGGGCGGUCCCAUCCAGGCCCCAGGAUCAGGGCUAAGGGUGUGCCUCCACAGGGGUGCAGGGGUACAUGUAUAUAUUUGUAGGCAUGUGUGUGGUUGUGCACAAGUAAGUACAUGAUUAUUGCUGGUAUGAGUGCAGGUAAGCAUGAGUAUGUACGUGCUAUCAUGUAGGCAGGUCCAGGCGUGUGUGAAUCAGCACCUGUGCAUCAGCUUGUGUGUGUCAUGCGUACACAUGAGCUCACUGAUGUGCAGGUCUGUGUGUGGGUGUGUACAUAUGUGUGUGUGUAGCAUGUAUGUAAGAGGGAGUAUGUUUGUAUAUGUAUGCAUGAACCAGGUGUCCAACAGUGUGUAUAUAUGUGCAUGAGUGAGGAUAUAUAUGCAAAAGGUGUGUGUGUGUGCAUAUGAAUGAGUUUGAGUGUGCAGGCUUGUGGUGGGUGUCUGUGAGUGAGCCCUUGUGUGUGCAGGCCUUUGUGUGCAAGUGCAGGCAUGGGAAGGGUGUAUUAGGAGCAUGGAUUUGCAGGCCGACUCACUAGCAGAUGUGUGCAAAUACAUAUUCAGUUGCGUAUGUCGGGCAUCCACACUCUGUGUUACCCAUUGUCAAUCCUAGCCUUUUUUUCUCCACAGGGUCCAAUUGUUCCCUGGAGAGAGGGCUAUCGUCAUUUAUCUGAGGGUUGUGCUGAUCCACUCUCCUGGGACUUCCCAGGCCACCUCUCCUAUUCCUUCCCCAUCACUCCUCCCAGACUUUGCUCUGCUGAAGCUGUUGUCCCUGAUGGUGGAUUUGCUGUAGGAAGUGUGGUGGCUGCUCUGGCCUGCCAUGGCUUUUUGAGCAAUUGGUAGAGAAUUAGUAUGAGGGAGGGAAGCUGGGGGUGGUGAUUGACACGUGGCAGGGAUGGGGGAUGGGAUCAGAGAAGAAGAUAAAGAGCUGUCCCUCUUGAACUCUGCCCUGGGGCACAUGGGAGAUGGGGAUGGGGGAGAUGAUAAGGGAGAUGAUAACGGCAGAACCCUGUGAAGAAUAGGAGAGUGGGAAUUCUAAAAUAUCAGUUUGAAACAAACAACCCUUCUCCACAGCAAAGGAGCUGUUGCAGACCAUAUUGAUUUCAGCUUCUGAUGAAAGCGAAUGUGUGCUUAUAAGCUUGCAAGGAAUCGGCAUGGUAUUCCAAGGCUGUUGGAAAAAAAAAAAUCUGUUUCCUCUCUGUGCCUCUACUCGCUGUGCCUUUCUGGCUUUAGCAACACUGGACGUCAAAUUAGGUUAACAACUUUAACCAUGGAGAUUUCUAACAAGGAGACAACGUCAAGCUCUCAGAGCACAAGACAGUGAAUUUUUAGAAGGGGCUCUUUCCUAAGUGUGUGAAGGCUCUUCUGAGCAUAGCCAGCAGUUAAGAGCACAGACUCUGAAACCAGACCCCUGGAUUUGGAUGUUGGCACCAUUGCUUUCUGUCUCUGUGACCCUUGGGAUUGUUUCCCCAAUCACAUUUUCUACAUCAUCGCAACCAUAAUGU
This is an RNA transcript of Panthera uncia (snow leopard), 2236 nucleotides long. It is a transcript of the gene named chromosome C1 C1orf216 homolog, with no coding region annotated. The transcript is spliced from 4 exons. The record is from RefSeq and is a predicted model, not a curated record. Lineage: Eukaryota; Metazoa; Chordata; Mammalia; Carnivora; Felidae.